CUUUAAAACAAAAGGCAGAAUAUAAAACGUUUGUUCCUUAACUCCUUUUCUAUAACAUGAUAACAACAGUUCUUACCAGAUAACAGUGUUUAGAGGCUCAAGUUAAUAAUUACAUCAAAUCAUUGUCAAAGAUUGAAGUCUAGCUGGGCAUGGUGGCACACGCCUAUGAUCCCAGCACUCAGGAGACUGAGACAGGAGGAUCAUUGUGACUUUGUGGCCAGCCUGGAAUAUAUGAUGUCGCUUUCUCUGUGACACUUCGUGACUCAGAGGUAAAAGGGAAAAUCAGUGGUUCACUCCUAGCUUCUCCCUAUCUGCAGACAGAUGUCAGGAAGGCCAACUGCUCAAAUGUCCAUUAAAUUUACCUGUAAAUAUACUGAAGAAGGAGAUCUGUGAAAGGAAGAUAAACAGAAGAGAUUGGGAGGAGGAAUAAAAAUGGCAAGAUUUGAUAUGUGUAUUUAUCAGACUACCAAGCUGAAUGUAAUCACUAUGUAUCAUGAAUGUGUACUAAUAAAAAAGUAAAAAAGAAAAAGUCAGUUGUUGAUUGCAUAGGUUCGAAUAUUCCAAGAAGUGUCCCAAGGCAUCAAAACGAAAAUAAUAUUUAUGCUACAGAAUUUAUUAUUGCUCACUGCCACUUUCUUUUCCUAUUCUCAUUCCAAAAGGCUUUAAUAUUUUCUAGGGCUUGGAAGGGGAUUUUGUUCUUAGCUCUUUGGUGCAAAUCAACCAUGGAAAUAAUAUCAUUUAAAAGGGCAAUGUUAACUUGAUUCUUUAUUGUAGGUGAUCAGAAAUUUUGCUUGGAGAUAAUGUUUUUAAUAUAUUGGCUGUAGGUGUUUUGUAACUGUGGAUGUUUUGUGCAUAUGUUCUUCAGCAUUUCUAUAGUAUAGGAACUUUUCCCUUAAGGUUUUUUAAAGUUUUUAAAUUUUUCCCAUUAAGGUUUUUUUUUGUAAAAGUGUA
This is a long non-coding RNA of Heterocephalus glaber (naked mole-rat), 951 nucleotides long. RefSeq lists it as uncharacterized. The record is from RefSeq and is a predicted model, not a curated record. NCBI's taxonomy places the organism in Eukaryota, Metazoa, Chordata, Mammalia, Rodentia, Bathyergidae.